This 254-nucleotide ribosomal RNA is filed under the name uncultured bacterium. RNAcentral describes it as "partial 16S ribosomal RNA". It matches the Rfam family "Bacterial small subunit ribosomal RNA", at positions 524 to 776 of the family's 1533-position model. The record is from RNAcentral.
GACGUAGGGCGCAAGCGUUGUCCGGAAUUAUUGGGCGUAAAGAGCUCGUAGGCGGCUUGUUGCGUCGACUGUGAAAACCCGUGGCUCAACCAUGUGGUCUGCAGUCGAUACGGGCAGGCUAGAAUUCGGUAGGGGAGACUGGAAUUCCUGGUGUAGCGGUGAAAUGCGCAGAUAUCAGGAGGAACACCGGUGGCGAAGGCGGGUCUCUGGGCCGAUAUUGACGCUGAGACGCGAAAGCGUGGGUAGCAAACAGG